Molecule: ribosomal RNA, 482 nt
Filed under: uncultured bacterium
Lineage: Bacteria
Description: bacterial SSU rRNA
Rfam family: Bacterial small subunit ribosomal RNA
Source: RNAcentral
GAUGAACGCUAGCGGCAGGCUUAAUACAUGCAAGUCAAGGGGGUAGCAAUACAACCGGCGCACGGGUGAGUAACGCGUACACAACAUACCAUAUACUGGGGUAUAGCUUUGGGAAACUGAAGGUAAUCCCCCAUAACAUUGCGAGAGGGCAUCUGAUUGCAAUUAAAGUUUCGGCGGUAUAUGAUUGGUGUGCGUUUGAUUAGCUAGUUGGUAGGGUAACGGCCUACCAAGGCGACGAUCAAUAGCUGGCGUGAGAGCGCGACCAGCCACACUGGAACUGAGACACGGUCCAGACUCCUACGGGAGGCAGCAGUAGGGAAUAUUGGACAAUGGAGGAAACUCUGAUCCAGCCAUGCCGCGUGAUAGAUGAAGGCCCUCUGGGUUGUAAAUAUCUUUUAUCUGGGAAGAAACAAUCUUAUUCAUAAGAUCUUGACGGUACCAGAGGAAUAAGCACCGGCUAACUCCGUGCCAGCAGCCGCGGU